AUGCCGCUUGGGGACGCGCCAACCCUGCCGAGUGAGCCAACUCUUGUGCUCGACCCAAACGCACUUGCGCCUACCAAGUGCUCGACGGCGAACCUCAAGCAUGGUGACAACACUACCGACAACAUCAAGGCUACUAUGGUGUCACUACUACCAUCCAAGGCAGUCCCAUUGUUUGCUGACAACAAGUUCACCUCUAGGGUGUUCAUAUUGUGGCCACUAAGAGGGAAUGUGACAGAAUGGCAACCAUGGCCUCCACCUUUGCAGGUGUGGAUCACACACAAGGGACGCAUGUUCAGGCCAAGACCAUGGCCAUUGUUCGAGUACUAUCACGGAGCUGUGCAACUGAGCCAGUCCUGGCCACCACCGUGGAGACCAUAUUUGGAGUUGGGCCUCGGAACUGGGCUAGGAUGA
Molecule: ribosomal RNA, 411 nt
Filed under: Triticum aestivum (bread wheat)
Lineage: Eukaryota; Viridiplantae; Streptophyta; Magnoliopsida; Poales; Poaceae
Description: partial small subunit ribosomal RNA
Source: RNAcentral